Molecule: ribosomal RNA, 412 nt
Filed under: Globigerinoides ruber albus
Lineage: Eukaryota; Foraminifera; Rotaliida; Globigerinidae
Description: partial small subunit ribosomal RNA
Rfam family: Eukaryotic small subunit ribosomal RNA
Source: RNAcentral
AGGUUGCGGCAAUAACAGGUCUGUGAUGCCCUCAGAUGUCCCGGGCUGCACACGUGCUACAAUGAGUGGCGCAAUGUGCUAAUGUUUAAGGGAUAAGAGUGUGGUCAGUANAACGUCGGGAUUUCCCCUGACGUCUCCCCCGCACGAUUAUCAGCCUUCCCUUAACAGGGCGGGCAACCUUUUCAAAAUACUGGUUUGAUGUUAAAGUAUUGAGUCGUUUUUUUUGGAUGGUGGUUUGUUAACCAAUACCAUCCGGCAACUGCUCGCGAGUUUGUGGUUCUGGCGACUCAUGGUGGGGACCGACGUUUGUAAUUUUUUGUCGCGUGUUAACUANGAAUGCCUUGUACUGUCGAUUCACUAAGUUACUGGGAAUACGUCCCUGCCCUUUGUACACACCGCCCGUCGCUCUUAC